RNAcentral lists this ribosomal RNA (191 nucleotides) under uncultured bacterium. RNAcentral's name for it is "partial 16S ribosomal RNA". It matches the Rfam family "Bacterial small subunit ribosomal RNA", at positions 338 to 521 of the family's 1533-position model. The record is from RNAcentral.
CCUACGGGGGGCAGCAGUGAGGAAUCUCGCGCAAUGGGGGAAACCCUGACGCAGCGACGCCGCGUGAGUGAAGAAGGCCCUCGGGUCGUAAAGCUCUGUCAAGUGGGAAUAACGUCGCACACUCAAUAGGUGUACGGUCUGAAGGUACCACUAGAGGAAGCGCCGGCUAACUCCGUGCCAGCAGCCGCGGU